GGUUAAGCUUGACCCGCAGCAGUUGCAGUCAGUGAGAAGUUUGGGCCCGAUGAAAUUGGAGCGCCAGCUUUCGGAUUCAUCGAUGUUUUUGCAACAGCAACAACAGCAGCAGUACUUGCAGCUGUCGAGGCACUCUCCACAGGCUGCCGCAGCACAGAUAAAUAUGUUGCACCAACAACGUUUGAUGCAGCUCCAGCAGCAGCAGCAGCAGCAAAUUCUUA
This 221-nucleotide unclassified non-coding RNA is filed under the name Hevea brasiliensis (rubber tree). Lineage: Eukaryota; Viridiplantae; Streptophyta; Magnoliopsida; Malpighiales; Euphorbiaceae. The record is from RNAcentral.